RNAcentral lists this ribosomal RNA (553 nucleotides) under Pantoea agglomerans. RNAcentral's name for it is "bacterial SSU rRNA". It matches the Rfam family "Bacterial small subunit ribosomal RNA", at positions 83 to 633 of the family's 1533-position model. Lineage: Bacteria; Pseudomonadati; Pseudomonadota; Gammaproteobacteria; Enterobacterales; Erwiniaceae. The record is from RNAcentral.
CUUGGGUGACGAGUGGCGGACGGGUGAGUAAUGUCUGGGGAUCUGCCCGAUAGAGGGGGAUAACCACUGGAAACGGUGGCUAAUACCGCAUAACGUCGCAAGACCAAAGAGGGGGACCUUCGGGCCUCUCACUAUCGGAUGAACCCAGAUGGGAUUAGCUAGUAGGCGGGGUAAUGGCCCACCUAGGCGACGAUCCCUAGCUGGUCUGAGAGGAUGACCAGCCACACUGGAACUGAGACACGGUCCAGACUCCUACGGGAGGCAGCAGUGGGGAAUAUUGCACAAUGGGCGCAAGCCUGAUGCAGCCAUGCCGCGUGUAUGAAGAAGGCCUUCGGGUUGUAAAGUACUUUCAGCGGGGAGGAAGGCGAUGGGGUUAAUAACCUUGUCGAUUGACGUUACCCGCAGAAGAAGCACCGGCUAACUCCGUGCCAGCAGCCGCGGUAAUACGGAGGGUGCAAGCGUUAAUCGGAAUUACUGGGCGUAAAGCGCACGCAGGCGGUCUGUUAAGUCAGAUGUGAAAUCCCCGGGCUUAACCUGGGAACUGCAUUGAAAC